UGGCACCCGGACCGCUUCCCGCGGGCGCAAAGCCAGCGGCGCCCACCGAGCCAUCGCGCUCCAGGUCCAGGAGGAACCUCCGGCCGCCCGCGUAGACGAGAGAUGCGCCGGAUAGUGGGCCUUCCUCAAGGGACCCUGAGCUACAGGUGGUUUCCCCAGAUCCUUGCUAAGAGGAGGGGAGACUUUCUCUGCCAGCCAGUGGGAAGUUACAGUUGACAUUUAUCCUGGUGAUCACCUAAGGCCGCUUCCUCCGGGAACCAAAGAGGAGCUGAGAGCAGAGACCAAAGCGAUUGCCUGCGGUUAACAAGUCCACCGGUGGUCAGCCCUCCUGAAUCCUGAAAACUUGACUCCUUCAGUCGGUGCUCAGUCGACAGCACCCCUUAAAAUCUAUCCAGUUCCGCAAAUGUCUGUCGAGGGCUGGCUACCAAGUGCUGUGUGAAGUUCUCCGGAGACACGUAAGCAUGAAUAAGCCAUGAUUGACGUUCAGAGAGGCUCACGGUUCAGAGAGGGGCCAAUUGUACCAAGAGCUGCUUGGACUACGGGCUGGAAAAUGCAAAUAUGGCGGGAGAAAGGCAAGAGAGUAACUAACCCCUGCAGGUGCUCCGAGCUAUGUAUUUCCAGGACAGCUUCACUCCAUAGGACUUGUGUAUCCUUAAUCAUUUUGGCAACAUGAAAUGAGACUGCCUGAAUGACGAUUUGAUUCUACAUCGCAGGAAGAACCCUUCCUGUCAAUCACCAUCAACUCAACUGAGCCUCCCAAAGUGGCUGAAACACUGGAGUCCCAGCAAGAUUGCUACAUCUGGGGGGGUGGGGGUG
Molecule: long non-coding RNA, 816 nt
Organism: Neofelis nebulosa (Clouded leopard)
Lineage: Eukaryota; Metazoa; Chordata; Mammalia; Carnivora; Felidae
Exons: 4
Source: RefSeq, a predicted model, not a curated record